CCACACCGACACUCUUCCCCUUCGCACCCAGGAGCGGAGAAACCAAACCAUUAAACCCCCUCUCUUUCUCUCUCCUCUUUUUCUCUCUCUCACUCACUAUAAACACAUAAUAUUACAAUCCCCUCCGAUUCAACUGCUAAAUCUGCGGUACCGAUCACCCACGAUCUUCCGCCAAGCUUCUUUCUCUCUACUAAAUCACUACUUUUGUAUCUCCGCCAACGUCACCUUUUAGCGCCGCCGUGGGCGCUGUUUCCGAUCAUUUGAUGGACGCUUCAAACAAUUACCUAAACGAAUAUCAACAUACUCAUAGCUUUGCUGGUUCUCAGAGAGACGUCACUUACAGGUGUGUGCAAUUUCACUUUCAUCAGAUCAGUUGUUGUCAAUGAUAUCAUUAAAUUUUUUUUGUCAAAUCAUAAUUCAUGAAAAAAAAUUGAUUUUUGUUUUAGUAUAUAUAAUACUGAUUUGGGUUUAUGUUUGUAUUUUGUGUUCUGUUUAAAGCAAAUAUAGAUUAAACAUAGUGGACUGUUGUUGUUUUUCUUUUUCCGGUUGAUUUGUUGGUCUAGGGUCCUGUUUGGGAGCAUGAAUUAGUGAGCUCAUGGUUGAAUUUUAAUUACUCAGAAGAGUUAAUCACGAACUUUGGUAACAUGAAUUUUCAACUGUUAUGACAGUGAUAGGGAAUGCUAAAAUAUGGAGGCUAAGCAUCCAAACUUUGUACAAUGAUAUGAAUAUAUAACAUUCGAUGAAGGACAAGUUCUGCAAGGAUUUAGAAAAGGGUAAGGGGGAAGAAAGAAGGGAAAAAUAGGAGAAGAAAAGCUGCCGGAAGGCCACAGUGGCAUAAAGUCUCACAUCAAAUCAAAACUAAUUUUCCGUCCGUUUCAAAAUAUGAGAUUACUUUUCUUUGUAUUUUUACAAAGGCAAGUGAUCUUAUAUAUCAAGUGUAGGCAUGAAAAGUCCCGUAGGAAUUGUUCUCUAUAAUUUCUGCUUGGAAAGAAUUCCAUCCGAAGAAAUUAUUAUAACUUUAUCUGGUAUUAUUUUUAACUUUAAUUUCUCUCAAUAAAUUCCAUUACUAAAUAUUUCUAUUUAACGAAAUGAGUUUAGAAAACUGAUUAAAUAUAACAACAGAAAGUGGUGAAGAAUCACAUUGAUGUAAUUGAGUUUUAUGAAAGUACCCGAUAGAAAAAUAAACACUAUCAAGAUGAAGGGUGAAGAACUGAGAUCUUAAAAGACGGAGGGAAAUCGGCAUGAAUUAUACGAAAUGCAGAGGAUAUCAUUUCUGUCUUUGGCUUUGAUGGUCAACUAUCUUCAGAUUCCAUUAUCCAUUUAUUUUUUUAAGCACACAGUACAUAAGAUGGUUUAGGAUAUUUUCUCCAUAUUAACUUACCAAGAUUAAAUAUAUGUAGGAUGCCAAAUUUUGUCAUUUUUAGAAAUUAAAGAUUGUUUAAUGGAAAGAACUUUGCAAGAGUUAAAGAAAUGAAAAAAAGUUGUGUCAGGCCCUUGUUGAAUUUAGAGAGAAUAAGCGAGGAAGGAGAAGAACUCAGUUAUUUGUUACUGAAUUCGUGAGACUGAGAGAUAGAUAGAGAGAGAAAGCUUAACAAGUUAUUCCCAUUCAUAAAAUGCAUAAUAUUCAAAAGCUUGGAAGUUACUCCACCCAUUACACACAUAUAUAUAGCUAAUGAAAUGCUGAAAAGUGUAGAUACUUCUAACUUACACCACUUCCUUAUCCUACACACAUGCUAACUAACCACCCAUGUGCAUAUAAAAUAUCUAAUUUUAGAAUAUACUAACUACUCUAGAAUAUACUAACUUAUUCUUUCUUUCCCAAUUUACCCCUGGCCUGACAUUCCCUCCUCCUUUAGAACAUUCAUGUCCUCGUGAAUGAAUUCUGAGUUUGUUCCCUCUUCAAAUUUUCCGGAAGCUGUGUUAUCCUUUCCUUUUUUGUAUGUGAUAAUGUAAUCAUAUCCCAAAAGCUUGCUCAUCCAUCUUUGUUGCAGGCAUGUAACUACCUUCUGUUCCAAAAAGUACUUCCAGGACUUGUGAUCUCUUAAUAGCUUCAACUACAGCCAUCAGUUCCUACUCAUAGGUUGAGUAAGUAUGAGCUUUAGAACCCAAAAGCGGGACUGCCUUCUUGCAUUAGAAUGGCCUCAAUCCCUGUUCUCGAUGCAUCAGUCUCAAUUUCGAAGACCUCGGUGAAGUCUUGUAAUGCCAAAACUAGAGAAGUAGUGAGAGCUUUUUAAAGAGUUGUGAAAGCAAGUUGAGCUUUUGGAUUCCACCCAAAUUUUCCUUUUUGUAGCAGAGAAGUCGGUGGUUUAGCUAGGAUUCCAUAUCCCUUUAUGAAUUUUCUAUAGUAUCCUGUUAGUCCAAGAAAACCCCUUAACUACUUGAUGGUUCUUGGUUCAGGCCAAUCCAGUACACUUGCUCCCUUUAGCAAAUAACUGAUUGUCCCUUAGAAUCUGAAAUACCUCUUGAAGAUGUUUAUAUUGUCCAUCCAAAUCCUUGUAGUAGAUUAGGAUGUUAUCAAAAAAUAUCAAAACACUUUUCCUGUUCAUCAAAUUUUGGAAUGUGGCAGGGACAUUAGUUAACCCAAAUGGCAUGAUUGUGAAUUCGAAUAGCCCUUGAUGUGUCCUAAAUGCCGUCUUUUCAAUGUCCUCUUUCUACAUUCUGACUUGGUGAUACCCAGCCCUUAAGUCCAGCUUAGUAAACUAUUUAUGUAACACAACAAACCUCAAAAUAAUAAAAACAAAUCUCCAAAAAUUUACACAAUAAUCAAAACCUAAAGUCAUAUCAACCUAUUAGGUCAAAUGUAGUUAUCUUCACACGAAACCUUAAAUCGUUCUUGCAAACUUGCCGUAGGAAAAACACAACAUGAGCCAAAUGUCCAGUAUGGAUAAAGAUAUACAAAAGAUGCAUAACUGAAAUACGGAAUUAAUUGACAAAAUACCGAACAAGGCCUCAAGCAUAAAUACCGACGAUAAUAUAAUAUCCAAAGUCCAAAAAAAAUAUAUCUGAAUCAACAAAAUUAACGAAAAAAACAGAAGGCUGAAUCAAAGUGGCUAAGUGGUUAUUUCAUACUGAGCUCAAAACAAAACAGAAAUAUACCUUGCCACACAUGCAAGUCAAAAUAAUGCCACAUUUACAAAAAUCAUACAUUGGACCGCGAAUCCAAAUGCAUGCAAAUCGGAAGCUGUGUCUAGCACAAACAUUACCAAUUCGUAAAUAGAACAAAAACUAGGGUCGAUGAUGCAGGACAAAUUUAAGAUGAAGAAUUAACGAAAAAUAAAUUAGGAUCUAAACUCCACGUUUAGACCACUAAGAUCUCUGAAGUGUAUCAACUCCACUUAUCAACACCAAGAUGGAUAAAAUACCUCUACGGUAUGAACAAAAUAAAAAACUUCAAUAUCAAUAUUCUGUAGUCUAAAUGACUUGUGGGGAUUACAUCACUAUUUAAAGAGACUCAAAAUCCUAAUAUUACUUGGGAAAUAAUAAAAGUACUAAACGACUAAAAUACCCUUUUUAAUAAUUUCUAAUCACUAAUUAAUGUCCUAAAUCUCCACUAAUAAAUAAAAUACAUAAAUCACAUCAACUACUUUUAUAUUAAACAUAAUAAAAACUCCAAAUAAUAAAUAUAACAAAUCUCUUCUUUGUUAUUGACUUGGAGUCCCCAUCAGUCGACCAAUACGCAUCCUGAACAAACAUAUCAAAUGGUCAAAGCUCAUACUCCGAGCAAACAUACAAAAGGAUACGCCGUUGAUUGAUCACACCGCCAUAGAAAGUGUCAUGCCUCGGUGCUAAGAGUACAUGUCUGUGGUACCCCUACAGGUGGUUAUAGCUCAGGUAUACCCCAACACUUAUCCUACAAAGAUAUAAUGUCACAACACAUGCGACAUGAUACCAAAAAAAGGGUUCUAAACGUAUAUGUUGAACCAAAUCAAAUCAUCGACAAAAUACCUCCAAAGUAAUGUAACAUGUACCGUUCUGCAAAUAUCAAUAAAGUUCUAUGCAUGAAGAACAAAUUCAAAAGAUUACAAAAAAUGAAGUUCAGAACAUCUAGACCAAACCAAAGCAAAAUAAGGAUUUGAUUAGGCAAAACUAAUAAUUUAACCACUAUAGUUGGCAAGUUUUACUUAAUAUACUACUGAACUUUUAAUUUUUUAAAUUAAUCCAUUGAACUAAUUAUUAUUUUAAAAUUAGGUCAUUCUGUGAACUCUUGAGUGACGACUGUUAAAUUUUUUCCUACGUGUACGUUAAAAAGAAAAGAAAAAAAAGAGAAAAUGACAUGGCCUAUUCUUAGUUUCUUUCUCUCUUCUCUCCUCUGUCUCUCCCUUCUUCAAGCAUACUUUUGUCUUUGAGUCCUUCAGACCUAAAAUUUGGACAGAAAAAAAUAAUGUUACGCUUAACCAUCUUCUUCCCUUGCCGUCUCCGCCACCAUCUUCUUCCUCCACCGCCACCAUCUUCUUCCAUUGCCACCACUUCCACCAUCUUCUUCCUCUGCCUCAACCACCACCAUCUUCCCGCACCGUCACCACCGCGUCAACCACCGCUUCAUCCUCCUCUACUAACAAUCAUCCCAUCCCCCUCUACAUAUGUCUGCAUAUCCUUCUCUCUCUAUAUAUAAAUAUAUGUGUGUUCAUACCUCUCUUGUGCGUUCGUAUUUGACUCGGCGAGGGCACAAAUUGAUUGCAAAAAUUAGUUGAAAUCAACUUCAUAUUUGGAUUAGCUUCAGAGAAGGUAUAAUUUUAAAAACUAAUUUGACAGAAUAAGGGCAAGGGCAAGAGACCCAGGUGCAAAAAAUUGUAGCAUUCCUUUCAUGGAAGAAACAAAAAUUGUACCAACGUUUGUGUGUUUUACAGAUCUUGUAGCAACAAUAUACAUUAUUAAUCCCAAAUUGUUUUGUUCAAGUGGGUACAUGAUAUUCCUUUCUCUCUCCUCUUAUUUCUCCACACCUCUACAGUACCAAACCAUCCUCCCCAGAUCUCUUCCCACACCCCAAUCUCUCACAUGGACUGAAGAUUCCCAAACUCUAAACCUCCAGAAAACGAAGAAGGGACAUACCAAAAUACCCUCUCCUUACAAUUACACCACCUAAAUUCUCUCACCUCCUUCAAUAAUGCCAACGCCACCCUAGGCGCCUCCAUCGCGACGCCGUCAGAGCCAAAACCCUCUCCGCCAUCGUCGCCGUCAAAACCAACGCCACCGCUGCGCGCGGCGGCUGCAAAUGAGGUAGACACACCAUGAUGGUAAGUUGCAGAGAUUUGUAGAGUAGACAAAACAAAUAUAUAUAUAUAUAUAUAUAUAUAUAGACACACACAAAUAGAUAUUGAGAUAGAAGGAAAGUUUAAUAUGUUUCCUUAUUUGCUUUUGAGACUCCCCUAUUUCUGAUGUAGAAAAUCUCAUUCAGCUCGUAUGUUUGAAGAAGGGAGAGGCAGAGGAGAGGAGAGAGAAAGAAAGUAAGAAUAGGCCAUGCCAUUUUUUUCUUUUUCAUGUGUACACGUAGGAAAAGAUUUAACAGUGGUGAGCCAGAGUUAACAGAAUGACCCAAUUUUAAAAUAAUAAUUAGUUCAAUGAGGUAAUUUGAAAAAUUAAAAGUUCAGUAAUAUAUUAAGUAAAACUUGUCAACUACAGUGGUUAAAUCAUUAGUUUUGUGAUUUGAUUAGAAAUGAAACAAUUAAGCGAGUGGCCAAAUUCCGAACGAUUAGCUGUACAAACAAAUCAACAUAAUGAUAGUAUCGCUGAAGAAAUAUGAAAUAUGUUCAAAUUAUAAUAGAAGGAAAAGAGUUCAAAUUACAGAAUAAAGUUAAUGUAUCAAAUAUUAAACUUCUAUUCAAGAGUGCCAAUAGAAAUAUAGGAAAAAUAUAACGAAUGACGAGAUAUCACGAGAUAUAUAGAAUAUAGCAUAAUCAAAGGAAUGAAGUACGAAAUCCAUACCCUCAAAUGCUAACUAUAUCAAAUACGAAAUGUUAUUCACCACCUAAAUAUAUUCACCUCGAAUUAUUUAUAAUCUAAACUAAUAAUUUCAUAAUAAUUUGUAAUCCAUUCAAGGUGCCUUUAUUUAUCGCCUUAGAUCACUAUUAAUACUCCAAAACUUAAAAAUCAAUGACUAAACUUAAGAAAUCUUAAAAUCCUAAUAUGACAAUUUAUUCUUAAGAAUUCAGUCUAUUGUAUAUCACUCAUAUAAAUCUGAUUUUAUAAUAAUUUUUCAAUUUAAUUAAUUUUAACAGAAAUUAGACUUCAAAUACUCCAAUUUAACCUCAAGAAUCACCCAAAUUGGAUUUAAAAUCAAGUCAUACAAUUUUAAAAAUUAAAACCCACUGUUAAAAAUCUUCUUGAAAAAUCCCCAGCCCCUUCUUAAAAUUCAUAACAAAUCAUACGUUAAUCUUUAACAGCUCAAAAUUGGUAAAUAUAUUCUCAGCUUAUAUAUGUAUAACAUAUCUAAAAAUUAUAACGAUCCAACAGUCGGAUUAGGAGAUAUAACACAUGCAAUAUACCUUAAAAUAUAAAAAUUGAUUCAGAUUUUAACGUUUACAUUCAAUCAAAUUAUAUUUCUUAAUAUAAAUUUAUCUUCUCUUUCUGAUUAUCAUGAUAUCUAAUUCGAUGUCUAUAUUUUAUUAAAAACAAUCUCUAAUUUUAAAACUCUCAUAACUAAACUUAAAAUCAAAAUAUAAAAUAAUAUUUACUUUCCUUGUUCGUUUUUCUUCAAUACAUAGAAGUAAAGAAUCAGACUUUCGGGUCUUCUAGAGUAUUCAAAAUCUCUUCAUGUUUUCAUGAAAAUUGUAGCUCUCGAAAAGAUGCACAAAUUAGGCUCAAGAAUCACUCAGAGUUAAUGUCUGAGUUACGAAUUUUCAAAAUUAGGGUUGAAAAUAGUGACGGGAAUCAGGAAAGGUUGCGGUUUUCAGCAAUUUAAGAUAGGAAGAUGAUGUCAAAUAACUUCUCUUCCUUCACAAUUUUAGAGGACGAAAAACUGAAGAAAUAGACUUUGGAUCCACUUAAUUCUGACAUCGGAUGAAUUAAUUAUGAUUUUUCUAAUGGACUGCAUUGCGUACAAGUAUUCUACUCGGGAAUUCAACUAAUCAAAUUAGAAUAUGAUUAAGGUUGCAUUUCUACUCAAGUAUAACAAGGAAACAAUAGAAGCUACCAAAACCCUAAUGAACUCUUUAAUUUUAAUAAAAUCAAUUAUUAAAUUAUCUACUAAAAGAAUUUAAUUUUCCAAACGAAACAAGGAAGAAAGAAAAAAUUAGUAACUUACCUUUUCCAAUUCAAUCGUGCUUUUAGGAAAAAUAAAAUUAAUAUUUAAUUAUUAACAAAAAUUCGGGUUAUUACAAUUUAGCUUCUUGUAAUUCAUCUAUUAGCUCAUCAAUGAGGGGAAUAUGGUAUUUAUUUUUGAUAGUCAGAGAGUUGAGGUGUCUGUAAUCAACACAAAAUCUCCAACUGUCAUCCUUUUUCUUAAUUAGGAGCAAUGGAGAAGCAUAUGGACUCUGGCUUGGUCUUAUGAUUCCUGUGUGUAAUAUUUCCUGCACUAGUCUUGCACUAGUCUCUCUAUUUCAUUUUUCUGGUCAUAAAAGCAUUUGUAGGGUCUGAUGGAGAAAGGUGAAGAGUUGGCUUUAAGAGGAAUCUUAUGGUCCAGAGAUCUUUUUGGCGGCAUACCUUGAGAUUCUUGAAAAAUAUUUGAGUAUUCUUCUAGAAAGGACUGUAUUUUUGGGUCUGUAGUGGUAGAGUUUAAGGAAUAACUAGUGGAGUUGGUUUGUGGUGGCUGUACAAUCACUAGAACCCAUGUUCUUCCUCAUUAAUAUGCUGGACCAGACCUUCUAGUGUGAUCAUUUUCAGUUCUAGGCAUGUAUUUUUAUUCUGCCCUUGUAACUGUUCCAUUUCCCCUACAUAAUUGAACGGUAAAGUUAGCUUCUCAUAGUCAAAGGUGGUUGGCCCUAGCUGUUUCAACCACUGAACUCCUAAUCAGUAUUCUAAAAGUCGCUAGUCGGUCCAAUGUCGGUUGGCUACCGACUAGCGACUAGGGGAUUAAUCGGCUAGUCGGAUUUUCAAUUUUUAAAAAUAUAUAUAUAUUCUCCUUCCUCCUUCAUAAGUUUUGAAUAAGUAGAAUAACAUAAGUAAUACAAAUCAUCAAAUAAUUUAAUAAUUUAAUUUAUAACUGAAGUUGAAAAAAUUUAAAAUUUAAAAUGAAAUAUUACAAUUAACUAAAAAAAUUAACUAAUUUAAUUUAUCCAACCUUUUCUUUAAUGCCCACUAAGGAACUAAUUAACUAAAACAAAAAAAAUAUCAGUAUUUGUAUUUGUAAACUGUUAAGCCUUAUAAGCCUUAUAUCAGCAUGCCUUAUAAGCCUUAUAUCAGUCGUCGAAGAAGGAGAGCCGAAAAAGAACUACCUGAGUAGCAGUCGGCGUUGUCGAAGAAGGAGAGCCGGAAAAGAACUACCUGACUAGCAGUCGGCGUUGUCGAAGAAGGCGAGCAGGCGUCGUCGUCGUCGAAACUGUUUCAGGCAAGAAGAAGGAGUCGGCGAGCAGCAGUAACGUCGUCGGUCGAAGGAAGAAGAAGCAGUAGCGUCGUCGUCGGUCAGGCGAGAAGAAGGAGUCGGCGUCGUCGGUCGAAGGAAGAAGAAGAAGAAGAAGCAGUAGCGUCGUCGUCGGUCAGGCGAGAAGGAGUUGGCGUCGUCGGUCAGGCGAGAAGAAGCAGUAGUGUCGUCGUUUUGUUUUUUACCCUGAUAUGCUCUGAUUUGUUCCGAUUUACCCCGACUUUACCGACUAGUCGCCAACUAGAUCCCGACUAAGUCGGCCAUCGACUAAAUCAACUGACUAGGGCCUGGUCGACUCGGCGAACCUCCGACCCCGACCUAGUCGGCCGACUAGGCCAACUUUUAGAACACUGCUCCUAAUACCAUGUCACAUCCUCCCAGUGGUAGUAUUCUCACGACAUCCUUAAAAAAAAUUCUCCCAUUUUCCAUCUAAGCUCUGAACAUUGUUGGCUGCCACGGAGUUGACUACCAUUUGCCACAGAAACCAUCAUGAGCGAGGUGGGUUCUAGAGCACAUUUGAGCCUCUGUGCUGUUCUAGGAUCCAACAAAUUAUGGGUACUGCCCCCUUUAAUGAGUAUUGAUAUAGACUUUUUUUCCCAUAUAACUAGUCAUUUUCAUGGUUUGGGAACUACCUUGGCCUUCAAGAUCAUUAAGAGAUACUUCAAUAUUCUCUUUGGUUGGUAAAUUUUCAGAAAGGUCACAGGCUGGUUCCUCAUCAUAUUGGGGAGGUCCAGAGUAUUCCACAAACUCUUGAGAGUCCUUACAGUUCUGGAAAUCCUCACAAGUGAUCAUGAAAUUUUGAGGAGCUUUGCAUUGGUGUCCCAUGGCGUACUUCUCAUCACAAUAAAAAUAUAGACCCCUGGCUCUUCUCUCAUCUCUUGAGCUGCAGUAAUAGGUUUAGGCUUGUUAAAGUCAUUUAUAUGAUAGGUGAGCAUAGGAGUUUUGGUGGUUGGUGGUGCAGGGAGUUCCUUUUUGAAGCUGAGCUAAGAGUUGGUGUGGUUGGGCGGUGGUUUAGGAUAGUUGUGGGUGUUAGCAAGUUUAGGAAUAUGACUCUCAUAGAACUUGGCUUGUUUGUAGGCUUGGGAUAGGGUUUCUGGAUCAAGCAACUUUAUCAUUUUUUUGGUUUCAUCUUUCAGUACACCAACAAGGUUUUCCACAAAGAAGUCCUCAAUCAAGUGAGGCAACUUCUCAAGCAGUCUCCCCUUAUGCCCUUCAAAGUCAUCAUAGUAUACAUUCACAGUUCCUACUUGCUUCAAUAACUUGAAUUGUUCAUAUAUGUUUUCCACACCUGCCUCAGUGAACCUCACAGUGAAGUCAUUUGCAAACUCCCUCCAAGUAAGCCAUUCUUUGCCAUUGACAUAAGACUUGUACCAAUAUUUUAGAGAACCAUGGAGGUGUAUUACAGCUAUGGCAAUCCUCUUAUGAGAAUGAAUCCCAUAUAUGCCAAAAUAUUCCUCGCAAUCCUAUAUCCAGCUUUUAGCAUCAUCACCCUCAGUAAAUAAAGGGAACACCAAUUUAAGAUGUUUAAGUUCUCUCUCCUCUUCACCAUCAUCACCAUUCUGGUUCCUCCUAUUCCUUCAUUAAACAUCAUCUUCUUCAUCUUUCCUUACUUUUUCUUGCUCAGCAUGUCUAGGGUCGCUAAAACAACUCUUAUCCCUCUUUCUCGCCCCUUCCAUUACCCCCAAAAGGAUUUUCAAACCUGUCAUCAUUAUCUAGACUCCUGUCUCAACAGUUCAUUCAUACUUUCUAUGAAGUGGUCCAUUUUCUCAUCAAUGAGUUGUAAUUUCUCAUUGGUGUACUCUUUGUAGUUUCACAAAUCUUGCUGCAACAUUUGUGAAGGACCAACCAUAUUUAUGGAGAGUAGAGAGAAAAUGAGACAUAAUAAUUGUUAUUCCGAGUUUGAAAAUGAAUUCAAGCAAUACAAUACUACUUGAGUAAGAGUAAGUGAGUUUAAGUAGCUAUUUAAGUGAGAAAUGGACUUCCUCAGUGAAAUAAAUUGAGUAUCCUUGGCCGAACAAGUUUAGUAUUGGAAGGCUCUACGAUCGUAGACUGGAACAACUUAUAAGAGCCUACGAUCGUAGACCGGAACAAAUAAUAAGAUUCUACGAUCAUAGACUGGAACAACUUAUAGGACUCUACAAUCGUAGACUGAAACAACUUAUAGGACUCUACGAUUGUUGACCGGAACACUUAGAAGGUUCUACGAUUGAAACACUUUGUAUGACUCUACGAUUUAGGCCUCUAGGACUGAAAUAAUUUGUAAGACUCUACGAUUGAAACAGUUUGUAAGACUCUACGACUGAAACAUUGUUAGACUCUACGGCUAAAACAACUUAAUACGAAUCACCUAACACAAAUCAAAACAGAUCAAACAAAACUAAUUCACAGAAUUUGGAAAUUUUUUAACUGAUAGUGAAGAACAAGCAAAAUAUGAAUUAAAAUGUGUGGGUGAUGUUGUAAUUGAGUUUUCUGGAAUGGGCUAUUUGUAUGUGACAGGAACGAGUGAGAUGGAAGUGUUUACUACCUAAAACAAGUGAAUUAACACCUGAAUUUACUGAGUUGCAAGUUCACUGGAAAAACAGAGCCUCUGAGACCUAGCUUCUGUUGCUAUGGGGUAGAGAUCUGCAGCUGUUGCCGAUGAUUUUGUGUUGAUUCUGGGUAGUUAUUGAAGGAUGGAAGAAGGCAGAGAGAUAGAAUUCAGGUAGAGGUAUAGGAGUAGAAAUCAGAAGUUGAAGAUCGAGAAGAACAGAGGAUGUAGAGGAAAGAAGAUGAGUUUGGAUAGAACUUGAGCUCUUAACCAACUUAUCAGGCCCUUGUUGAAGCCUAACCAGAAUAUAAGAGAAAAAUAGAGAUAGAGAUAGAAAUAAGAGAGAAUUCAGAGAGAAUAAGGGAGGAAGAAGGAGAAGAACUCAGUUAUUUGUUACUGAAUUCGUGAGACAGAGAUAGAGAGAGAAAAAAAGCUUAACAAACUAUUCCCAUUCAUAAAAUGCAUAAUAUUCAAAAGCUUUGAAGUUACUCCACUCAUUACACGCAUAUGUAUAGCUGCUGAAAUGCUGAAAAGUGUAUUACUCCUAAGCUACAUUACUUCCUUAUCCUACACACAUGCUAACUAACCACCCAUGUGCUUACAUGUGCAUACAAAAUAUCUAAUUCUAGAAUAUACUAACUACUCUAGAAUAUACUAACUUAUUCUUUCUUUCCCGAUUUACCCCUGGCCUGACAAGUUACAUGGAGUAAUGAUAGGAUUUUAGCAAAAAGAGGGUUUUGUUUGGGGCGGGAGCCGGGUGCCAACUUGGACUGUAAUUGAGCAGAAGAAGUUCUUCUAAGCUAACCUCCCUUCUUAGUAGAAGAAGUAAGCAACUGCUUUUGGAAGCACAACUAAAUGGUCCUUUUUUUAAAUGGAACAUCAAGCUUAUGGUUCCCAGACCAAAAGAAAAGAAGGAAAGGUAGUAGAUCUUUGCUGGAAUCGUAACCCCUGCAUUCCGUGUCUAAAUUCUUUUUGUCAAGUGGUUUGUUAAGUUAUGUGGCCAGACAUGGAACUUCUGGAAAAAACGUCGAGCUUAAGGAACAUGUUGAAGAAGAAACAGAGGAAGAUGUAGUGAAAUCUGAAGCAGAGUAAUUAACUUAAGAAUCAAUAUAAAAGGAUGCUAAAUGGUUUGAAGUUCUGUCUUGGAUCAGACAGAACUUGUCUAUGAAUUAUGAAAUGAAAACUCAACACAUGUGAGUUUGUUAUUCUCGACGACUUGCAUAAUAUAAUUGGAGAUUUAUUCUUAUCUAAGUCCUUCUGAAGAUCACUAUCCUGACAAUGCAACUCGGUCCAGCAUCAGUGGAUGUCCCCUGUUAACAAUCGGAAGAAUGCUGAGAGCCAAAAAAUACUCGUCAUGGGUAAUGUAAUACAUUUAGAGACAUACUGGGUUUAAUUGAAGUAAGUUUAGAAAUGAGGAUUAAUCCAUGGAGUUUCAGUGUAGUUGAAUGAUCUCUGAGCUAUGCUUUGUGCUUAAUUCUCCGAAGGUUUAACUAUCCUUUGCGAAGGAGAAGUAUUCUUACAUGCGGGCUAUUGUCCCCCUUUCCAGAUUUCAACUAAUCAUUUUUUUUCUCCUCUUCUGCAUCUUCCUGUCUGCAGACUUUAUUUUUUGUCCUUCAUCAUCGAGUAACCUCCUUUUACAUGCACCCUGAAACAUCGUUGUGUUCCUUAAUAUGGUUGUAUUGUAUGUAUUAUGAUGUUUCCCUAGGAAUAUGGUGUGUUCUUAAGAUUGCAACUUGUCCUUUGUGGGUCUUUAAGGGUUAAGAGUUUGACAGCUUGCACUAACGACAAAGGCCUUUCAGCCUCUGUCUCUGCCAAUUUUAGGGAAAGAGAGAUGUCUAUGUCCUCUUUACAUGUUUUGAGAUACCCUUUUUCAGUAUCUUACUCAAUUCUCCUCUAUCCAGCUGACAGGUGAAUACCGUCUAUACUAGUCCCUUUCACCUAGC
This 12985-nucleotide long non-coding RNA is filed under the name Panax ginseng (ginseng). Its description in RNAcentral is "long non-coding RNA (PGIN_LNC000892)". The record is from RNAcentral. Lineage: Eukaryota; Viridiplantae; Streptophyta; Magnoliopsida; Apiales; Araliaceae.